This 25-nucleotide non-coding RNA is filed under the name Mus musculus (house mouse). Lineage: Eukaryota; Metazoa; Chordata; Mammalia; Rodentia; Muridae. The record is from RNAcentral.
UCCCUGAUUUCAAAUAUCCUGUCCC